CCUCCAUUUUUGAGAUUCCUGAAAGGUGACCAGGUGAAAGCAGAGCCUAACUUCCUGGGGAAAUGGUCUCAGCGCAGUGAAUGCUAUAUUCAGAGGUAGGAAGACUCUGGAUGUGAACUACUUCGUGUUUCUUUUGUAAAAUUACCAAAAAAAUAAGGAAUAUCCACAGAAGCGGAAGUAGGGAUGCGGAAGGAGAGGAUGAGUUUAGACUAAGCUCUUUUGUCACCUCACUUCUGCUUUUGAAGUCCCACAGCUCCGUAAGGAUCCUAAAACUGGGAGCGGUGGCUCUAGGAGGAUGUGCAUCUUUCCUUGGGUUUUCCCUGGAAAGACAGAAUGAAUUCACAUUCCCACCUGCAGUGGCUGAGAAGUCCCCUUUCCCCCACUUCCUUG
Molecule: long non-coding RNA, 390 nt
Organism: Cebus imitator (Panamanian white-faced capuchin)
Lineage: Eukaryota; Metazoa; Chordata; Mammalia; Primates; Cebidae
Exons: 2
Source: RefSeq, a predicted model, not a curated record